RNAcentral lists this ribosomal RNA (435 nucleotides) under uncultured bacterium. Its description in RNAcentral is "partial 16S ribosomal RNA". It matches the Rfam family "Bacterial small subunit ribosomal RNA", at positions 29 to 507 of the family's 1533-position model. The record is from RNAcentral.
AGCGAACGCUGGCGGCAGGCUUAACACAUGCAAGUCGAGCGGGCAUCUUCGGAUGUCAGCGGCAGACGGGUGAGUAACACGUGGGAACGUACCCUUCGGUUCGGAACAACUCUGGGAAACUGGAGCUAAUACCGGAUACGCCCUUAUGGGGAAAGGUUUACUGCCGAAGGAUCGGCCCGCGUCUGAUUAGCUUGUUGGUGGGGAAACGGCCUACCAAGGCGACGAUCAGUAGCUGGUCUGAGAGGAUGAGCAGCCACACUGGGACUGAGACACGGCCCAGACUCCUACGGGAGGCAGCAGUGGGGAAUAGUGGACAAUGGGCGCAAGCCUGAUCCAGCCAUGCCGCGUGAGUGAUGAAGGCCUUAGGGUUGUAAAGCUCUUUUGUCCGGGACGAUAAUGACGGUACCGGAAGAAUAAGCCCCGGCUAACUUCGUG